CAGCCACAGGGAGAGAGAGGGGAGAGAGAGAGAGGGAGAGAGAGGGAGAGAGAGGGGAGAGAGAGAGAGGGAGAGAGGGAGAGAGAGGGAGAGAGAGGGAGAGAGGGAUGGGGAGCUAGAGGAAGAGAGCGAGAGAGAGAGCAUGAGAAAGUAAGAACCAGGUAAAGAGAAGGAGUAAGAGAAGCCCAAACUGAGUUACUGGUGCCUACUUACCCGUUUGAGUGGUCUAUGGUCCAUCAAGGGGCUUCACAGAAACAGCAAACAACACCGACGAUUAGCACAGACAGACACAAACACACACAGACACACACACAAACACACACAGACACAGACACAAACACACUGGGUUGGAGCGAGGAGGGUUGGGGUACGGCCAUGCUAGAGAUAUAUAGUGAUGUAGUGACAGCUGGUCUGACACCAGGAUGUAGUGUGUAUUAGUGAUGUAGUGACAGUUGGUCUGACACCAGGAUGUAGUGUGUAUUAGUAAUGUAGUGACAGUUGGUCUGACACCAGAAAGAGGUAGUGUGUAUGAGUGAUGUAGUGACAUCUGGUCUGACACCAGAAGGAGGUACUGUGUAUUAGUAAUGUAGUGACAGCUAGUCUGACACCAGGAUGUAGUGUGUAUUAGUGACAUUGUGACAGCUGGUCUGACACCAGAAGAAGGUAGUGUGUAUUAGUAAUGUAGUGACUGCUGGUCUGACACCAGAAGGAGGUAGUGUGUAUGAGUGAUGUAGUGACAUCUGGUCUGACACCAGAAGGAGGUACUGUGUAUGAGUGAUGUAGUGACAGCUGGUAUGACACCAGAAGGAGGUAGUGUGUAUUAGUAAUGUAGUGACAGCUGGUCUGACACCAGAAGAAGGUAGUGUGUAUGAGUGAUGUAG
Molecule: long non-coding RNA, 881 nt
Organism: Esox lucius (northern pike)
Lineage: Eukaryota; Metazoa; Chordata; Actinopteri; Esociformes; Esocidae
Source: Ensembl